RNAcentral lists this transfer RNA (63 nucleotides) under Linacoris sp. KLM-2013. RNAcentral describes it as "tRNA-Leu". The record is from RNAcentral. Lineage: Eukaryota; Metazoa; Arthropoda; Insecta; Hemiptera; Miridae.
UAUGGCAGAAUAGUGCAAUGAAUUUAAGAUUCAUAUAUAAGNNGAAAGAUCCUUUUCUAGAAA